Long non-coding RNA from Solanum tuberosum (potato), 2321 nucleotides. RefSeq lists it as uncharacterized. The transcript has 9 exons. The record is from RefSeq and is a predicted model, not a curated record. Lineage: Eukaryota; Viridiplantae; Streptophyta; Magnoliopsida; Solanales; Solanaceae.
UAUCUUUAAAAAAAGUGGGCAAACAAAGGGGUCUUUUGAUGGAAAGAAACUACCCCAUGAUGAAUUCAACCAAGCAGUUUUGUAUAUUCUUCAAAAUUGUGAAGAGGUUUCACCUUUCAUAGAGGAAUACAUGAGAGAGAUUGAAAUACAAGGUUCAACGAGACCUCAUGGAAUGCUGAAUAAUGAUUUUAUUGAUUGGUUUCGUGCACGUAUAUUAGUACUAGCUUCACAAGGACGCACAACUGAUGAGCUCAUAAGCUUAGUUGUAGGUCCAAAACCAUUGGUGUAUCGAUAUUCAAUAUUUAUGGUGAAUGGAUUUAGGUUCCAAACAAAAGAGCUUGUGAGAAAAACACAGAACAGUGGAGUUCUUGUGAGAUGAGAUGAUUCAAACUCUAAUAAGGAGUAUUAUGGUGUAUUAGAGGACAUAUACGAGUUACACUACGUUGGAAAUAGAAAAGUUCAUCUAUUCAAGUGUCACUGAUGGGAUGUGGCUCGCCUAGGAAGAUGAUAUAAGAUUGACAAAUAUGGUUUUACAAGUGUGAAUGCUCAUUGUGCCUUAAAUACAAAUGAGCCAUUUGUGUUGGCAUCUCAGUCUGAACAAGUCUUCUAUUUGAAAGACUUGAUUGACAAAGAUUGGCUUGUUGUUGUAAAGACAAAUCCUCGAGAUCUUUUUAAUAUGCCUGAAGUUGAAGAAGCAGUAAUGAAUGAAGAAGCUUAUCAACAAGAGGAAGUGGAAGGAAAUGAAAGGAAUUGGUCGAGGACGUGGACGAGGUAAAGGUAAUAGUGGAAGAGAUGGUACAAGAGGUGGACAUGGAAAUUUUUGAGAACGUGAGUGUUUUGGUACUACAUCUUAGCCACCAAUACAACAUAUAAGAGUUGCUGAAGUAUCAUUGGAGACAGGACAGACACCUAACCCAAGUCAAGGAAGUCUACAGGCGGAACAAAUAUCAAGUGAUCCUCUCCAAAAAACAUCUCCAGGGGCACAAUCAUUAAGAAAUCUAGAAGAAAGUAUUCAUCCCUUCCUAGAGGUUGAAAUUGGUGCAGUUUCUCGCAUCAAUAGAAAGAGAUGAAGAGGGAAAUACAAAUCUAAAACUGUUGAUAUUAAAACUAAGUAUGGAGGAAAAAUCAAAGUAAUCAUUCUAGAUGAUAUUGAUAGAGCUGUGGGUUUUGGGGCUAGAGAUAUUGUUAAUUACGCAGGCUUGAUCAUGAGGAACAGUAUCUCAUUUCAAGAUGGAAAUUGGCAGAAUAUUGUUUCAAAACAUGGAGAAGCAAUGUGGUAUAAGGUCAAGGACAAAUUUGAAGUUUCUGGUGGGCUGCGAGCACAUAAGUUACAAGGCUUUGUGAUAAGCACUAUGCAAAGACUCUUUAGAGCUUGGAAAGCUCGAUUACAUAAUCACUAUUGUGCCUAUAGUACGGAUGAAGACAAAUUGUCUAAUCGUCCUGAGGAUGUUGAGUUGGAGGACUGGAAAUACCUAGUUAAGUAUUUUGGCAGUGAGAAAUUCAAGAUUAUCAGUGAAAGAACAAAAACAAUAGAGAAAAACAAAUAACUAAGCAUUCUUGUGGUACAAUAUCAUUUGCAGAAGUAGAGGACUCUACGGUGAAAAUACAUUUUUCUCCUAUUACUACAUAUACGUGUUCUUGUGUGUUUUCCUUAUUGAAUUAUAUUGCAAAGAGAUCCACUAUCGGGAGAAAAAGACUCACCAGAUAAAGUCUGGGAGAUCCAACACACACGUAAAAGUGCUAGCGGAGAACGUGUAUGGUUGGAUCCACAAUCCCAAUAGAUUCAUAGCCAGCUCAAACAACUUGUUGUUGAACAACAAUCAGAAGAGAUCGAAAAUCCCAUGACUAGGGAUGAGAUUUUAUCCUUAGUUCUCGGUGAGAGAUCAUGCUAUGUUCGCGGAAAAGGAUAUGGGAAAAAUCCUCCUAAAAAAGCUCAAAUACAACAGGCAGACAUAGAGGCUAGUGUGUCUUCAGCAAUGGAAAGUAUGCGUCAAGAGAUGCAAGCUGAUAUGGAACGAAAGCUACAAGAAGAACGUGAACACAUGGCGGCAGAUUUAAAAAGGAGUAUGGAAGAAGAUCUGACAAAAAAAUUGGAAGAGGAGCGUGAACACAUGAAAGGUGAAGUUGACAAAAUGUUCCAAGAACAAAUGGCCGCUGUCAUGACUAGGAUGCAACAGGGACAAAUUUCUUAAACAAUGGGGCCAAUCUAAAAGAAGUUUGAAGGCCUGCAAUGGAAGUUUUUGCUUUUUGACCAUAUGUAUAUGCAUAUACAAUUGAAUUUUUAUUUUAUUUAUCACAUGCAUGUAAAUGGAUACAACAUU